Molecule: long non-coding RNA, 875 nt
Filed under: Phoenix dactylifera (date palm)
Lineage: Eukaryota; Viridiplantae; Streptophyta; Magnoliopsida; Arecales; Arecaceae
Description: long non-coding RNA (PDAC_LNC017393)
Source: RNAcentral
GAGAGAUUGUUCUCUACCGGGACUGGCAUUACACACCAGCAGAGAUCGGGGAAGACGUUCCACAGCUGCUUGUGAGCUAGACUUGCCGGGUUAUAAACUUGUUAGAAUGGGGUUUGUUAUGGAUCCAACAAAGAUGAACAAAAUGAAGAAAGGAGAUUGAGACGCCCCUCUACAAAAUUUUGACCUAUCUUUUCGCCUAACAUGAUCACGAACGAAGACAGAGAAUUGCGUAGAUAGGAGGAGGAAACGAACCAACCCGGGGCCCCCAACCAAAGGUCUGCAUCAUAGCCAGUAUUUUUAGGCUAAACCAAAUUCCAUCAUGCAAAGCUGCAAUAAGCUGCCGGAUUUCGUCCCGUCCGUAGCGCUUCGGAAGUCACUGUGGCGUGGCUGAAUGUAGAGCAGUCCGUGACGGAACUUUGAUCAGUAUAUUAUUUAGAACCGACAAAGAGAGGAUCAGACGAGCGAGAAAGUUGACGUAUCGCCUUACAAAACAAGAAAAAAAAAGUCUCUCUACAGCUGAAGAAUGAGCGUGUUCUUGGGCCAUCGUAGAAACAUAGAUAGGGUCGACGACGGAACGAACAACGAAACUUUACGACAGCUUUUUCGUACACGUUCAUCGAUUCUUUCACAAAGUGGGAUAAAAACCUCGAGGGCAAGGGAGAUCAAUGUUGCCGUAGCUACUAGUGAACGAUUCUAGGUUCACUUCCAGUUCCGCCGUUGAUGUCCACUUUUUCUUCCACCAUAGCGGAGGUCUUAAAAGGAAGCUGGCCUGUACUUAACUAGCGGAAUGUACUUAAGUCUGUUUAACCCCCAUUAUGUAAGGCUUCUUUCCGACUACCGGGACUUAAUCUCUAUCUUUCUAGUCUACUUUCUUU